UCAAACACUCUUAACUCACGUUGAUUUUCAGCCCACACACAACUCACACACACUAACACCUAAAACACACACACCAUUCACGCAUAUACCAUUUUUUAGCUUGAGCUCAAGCUUUUGAGCUCCGAUUUGAGCACCGAGAUGAACGCCGAUCAUCUUUUCGAUCACGUAUCUAAGUAGGUCCUUUUGGGAAGUAACGACUUGAGGGAGAGAGUGACGUUACUCAUUGAUACAGAGACACAACGAGGUUGAGCUGAUGUGAUGAUGGUGCUGCAAUGAGCGGAGUCUCCAGGGUUGUUAAUAAAUAGUUAACCUGUCUAGAAUAUGUCUUCAUACAUAUGUCUAGCUACUUUCCGCUGCAAGAUGUUGUUGAUGUUAUAGUAUGUUAUGUCAUACUUUGAGUCUUAAGAGAAUGGUUUCAUAUGAUGUAUAACUUGAUUAAUGAUAUUAAUUAAGUUUUAUGUUGUCUUUCA
Molecule: long non-coding RNA, 470 nt
Organism: Salvia miltiorrhiza (redroot sage)
Lineage: Eukaryota; Viridiplantae; Streptophyta; Magnoliopsida; Lamiales; Lamiaceae
Exons: 3
Source: RefSeq, a predicted model, not a curated record